Molecule: ribosomal RNA, 269 nt
Filed under: uncultured microorganism
Description: partial 16S ribosomal RNA
Rfam family: Bacterial small subunit ribosomal RNA
Source: RNAcentral
GAGUUUGAUCUUGGCUCAGGAUGAACGCUGGCGGCGUGCCUAAUACAUGCAAGUCGUACGAACAGCGGAAAGUGCUUGCACUUUCCAAGUAAGUGGCGAACGGGUGAGUAACACGUGAAUAACCUACCUCAAAGUCUGGGGAUAACCAUUGGAAACAGUGACUAAUACCGGAUAAAACCUAGUAGCACAUGCUACAAGGUUAAAAGACUGCGUUUGCAGCGCUUUAAGAUGGAUUCGCGGUGCGAUUAGUUAGUUGGUGUAGGUAAAGG